CCAGCCGCGUAGUGAUGAAGGCCCUAGGGUUGUAAAGCUUUUUUGUGCGGGAAGAUAAUGACGGUACCGCAAGAAUAAGCCCCGGCUAACUUCGUGCCAGCAGCCGCGGUAAU
Molecule: ribosomal RNA, 113 nt
Filed under: uncultured Nitrobacter sp.
Lineage: Bacteria; Pseudomonadati; Pseudomonadota; Alphaproteobacteria; Hyphomicrobiales; Nitrobacteraceae
Description: partial 16S ribosomal RNA
Rfam family: Bacterial small subunit ribosomal RNA
Source: RNAcentral